This 902-nucleotide ribosomal RNA is filed under the name Cantharellus pallens. RNAcentral's name for it is "LSU rRNA". It matches the Rfam family "Eukaryotic large subunit ribosomal RNA", at positions 44 to 959 of the family's 3401-position model. The record is from RNAcentral. Lineage: Eukaryota; Fungi; Basidiomycota; Agaricomycetes; Cantharellales; Hydnaceae.
CACUAAGCGGAGGAAAAGAAACUAACUAGGAUUCCCCCAGUAACUGCGAGUGAAGAGGGAAGAGCUCAUCAUUGGAAUCUGGCAGUGUUGCACUGUCCGAGUUGUAGAUGAGGAGUAGUCCGUCUGGACUGCAUGGCGUCCAAGUACAAUAGGCCGUCAGUGGGACAUCAUAGAGGGUGACAAUCCCGUCCUUGACGCUAAUGUGCAAGUCUAUUACGAUGGCUAUCUCAGAGAGUCGAGCAGUUUGGGAUUUGCUGCUUAAACAUGGGAGGUAGAUUCCUUCUAAAGCUAAAUACAGGCGAGAGACCGAUAGAGAACAAGUACCGCAAGGGAAAGAUGAAAUAGCACUCUGUGAAGGGAGUCAAAAGGCGUGAAAUUGUUGCGAGAGAAGCGAUUCAAGUCAGCGUAGCUAGGCCCAUCAAGCGUCUUCGCUUUGGACUAGCUUUGCCAGCGGUCUUGUCCCUUAAAGAGACUUGACUUGUAAUAUGUCCAGCCUGGCGUGCACAGGCAGCCCCUUCUGGGGGCCAGUGGCAUGGCUGGUGGAAUGGCUUGCAAUCGACCCGUCUUGAAACACGGACCAAGGAGUCUAACAUGUAUGCGAGUAUAAGGGUGGCAAACCCGUAUGCGCAAUGAAAGUGAUUUUCGGUGAUUGAGAAUGGCCUGAUGACCAGACAAGCAAUACAUGUCCCUCGUACGGCCAUUGCCCAAGUUCCGUGGUAGAUCCCACGAACAUGGAGUUGGAGCAUACAUGCUAGGACCCGAAAGAUGGUGAACUAUGCCUGGACAAAGCGAAGCCAAAGGAAACUCUGGUGGAGGCUUGUAGCGAUUCUGACGUGCAAAUCGAUCGUCUGAUCUGGGUAUAGGGGCGAAAGACUAAUCGAMCCAUCUCAUAGCUGGUCUGC